GACGAACGCUGGCGGCGUGCUUAACACAUGCAAGUCGAACGGAAAGGCCCUGCUUUUGUGGGGUGCUCGAGUGGCGAACGGGUGAGUAACACGUGAGUAACCUGCCCUUGACUUUGGGAUAACUUCAGGAAACUGGGGCUAAUACCGGAUAGGAGCUCCUGCUGCAUGGUGGGGGUUGGAAAGUUUCGGCGGUUGGGGAUGGACUCGCGGCUUAUCAGCUUGUUGGUGGGGUAGUGGCUUACCAAGGCUUUGACGGGUAGCCGGCCUGAGAGGGUGACCGGCCACAUUGGGACUGAGAUACGGCCCAGACUCCUACGGGAGGCAGCAGUGGGGAAUAUUGCACAAUGGGCGGAAGCAUGAUGCAGCAACGCCGCGUGCGGGAGGACGGCAUUCGGGUUGUAAACCGCUUUCGCCUGUGACGAAGCGUGAGUGACGGUAAUGGGUAAAGAAGCACCGGCUAACUACGU
RNAcentral lists this ribosomal RNA (467 nucleotides) under uncultured bacterium. Its description in RNAcentral is "partial 16S ribosomal RNA". It matches the Rfam family "Bacterial small subunit ribosomal RNA", at positions 28 to 506 of the family's 1533-position model. The record is from RNAcentral.